Molecule: ribosomal RNA, 253 nt
Filed under: uncultured bacterium
Lineage: Bacteria
Description: partial 16S ribosomal RNA
Rfam family: Bacterial small subunit ribosomal RNA
Source: RNAcentral
UACGUAGGGUGCGAGCGUUGUCCGGAAUUAUUGGGCGUAAAGGGCUCGUAGGCGGUUUGUCGCGUCGGGAGUGAAAACCAGGUGCUUAACACCUGGCUUGCUUUCGAUACGGGCAGACUGGAGGUAUGCAGGGGAGAACGGAAUUCCUGGUGUAGCGGUGAAAUGCGCAGAUAUCAGGAGGAACACCGGUGGCGAAGGCGGUUCUCUGGGCAUGUCCUGACGCUGAGGAGCGAAAGUGUGGGGAGCGAACAGG